This 107-nucleotide small nuclear RNA is filed under the name Piliocolobus tephrosceles (Ugandan red Colobus). The record is from RNAcentral. Lineage: Eukaryota; Metazoa; Chordata; Mammalia; Primates; Cercopithecidae.
GCGUUCAAUUCAGCAGCACACAUACUAACACUGGAACAAUUCAGAGAAGAUCAGCAUGGCUCCUGCGCAAGGAUGACAUGCAAAUUCGUGAAGCGUUCGUAUUUUUA